UGGGGAAUUUUGGACAAUGGGCGAAAGCCUGAUCCAGCAAUGCCGCGUGUGUGAAGAAGGCCUUCGGGUUGUAAAGCACUUUUGUCCGGAAAGAAAUCCUUGGCUCUAAUACAGUCGGGGGAUGACGGUACCGGAAGAAUAAGCACCGGCUAACUACGUGCCAGCAGCCGCGGUAAUACGUAGGGUGCAAGCGUUAAUCGGAAUUACUGGGCGUAAAGCGUGCGCAGGCGGUUUGCUAAGACCGAUGUGAAAUCCCCGGGCUCAACCUGGGAACUGCAUUGGUGACUGGCAGGCUAGAGUAUGGCAGAGGGGGGUAGAAUUCCACGUGUAGCAGUGAAAUGCGUAGAGAUGUGGAGGAAUACCGAUGGCGAAGGCAGCCCCCUGGGCCAAUACUGACGCUCAUGCACGAAAGCGUGGGGAGCAAACAGGAUUAGAUACCCUGGUAGUCCACGCCCUAAACGAUGUCAACUAGUUGUUGGGGAUUCAUUCCUUAGUAACGUAGCUAACGCGUGAAGUUGACCGCCUGGGGAGUACGGUCGCAAGACUGAAACUCAAAUGAAUUGACGGGGUCAUAGCUGUUUCCU
This 584-nucleotide ribosomal RNA is filed under the name uncultured bacterium. RNAcentral describes it as "partial 16S ribosomal RNA". It matches the Rfam family "Bacterial small subunit ribosomal RNA", at positions 355 to 1375 of the family's 1533-position model. The record is from RNAcentral.